UUGAAUGAAUGUAGAGAGAACAGCUUCACGUUUAUCUUACUUUAAAAGAAGUAUAUUAAGAAUACUUAAUUUUUUCAAUUUAUCAUAUUUAUGCUUAAUGAUAAACUUGGAGACUAAGUAUUCAAAAGUUCUUCAUUUGUUCAAAAAUGUUUCACUUGUUAUUUCUCCUACUAAGUUAUCGUUAAAUAGCUAAAAUUAAGACAUUUAUUAAACCUUUUA
This 219-nucleotide long non-coding RNA is filed under the name Bos taurus (domestic cattle). RNAcentral's name for it is "long non-coding RNA NONBTAT006358". Lineage: Eukaryota; Metazoa; Chordata; Mammalia; Artiodactyla; Bovidae. The record is from RNAcentral.